Dreissena polymorpha is the source of this 1491-nucleotide long non-coding RNA. RefSeq lists it as uncharacterized. The transcript has 2 exons. The record is from RefSeq and is a predicted model, not a curated record. NCBI's taxonomy places the organism in Eukaryota, Metazoa, Mollusca, Bivalvia, Myida, Dreissenidae.
GAUAUUUGGCAUGCAUGUGUAUCUCAUGCAGCUGCAAAUUUUGAGUGGUGAAAGGUCAAGGUCAUCCUUCAAGGUCAAAGGUCAAAUUUAUGGCUUCAAAGCAGCGCAAUAGGGGGCAUUGUGUUUCUGACAAACACAUCUCUUGUUCUUUCCUAAAACUUUAACCUUCGUUAAAGUUUGGUCAUAACUUUUUAUGCCCCCCUUCGAAGAAGAGGGGGUAUAUUGCUUUGCUCAUGUCGGUCGGUCGGUCGGUCGGUCAGUCGGUCGGUCGGUAGGUCGGUCGGUCGGUCCGUCCACCAGGUGGUUGUCGUAUGAUAACUCAAGAACGCUUGGGGCUAGGAUCAUGAAACUUCAUAGGUACAUUGAUCAUGACUCGCAGAUGACCCCUAUUGAUUUUGAGGUCACUAGGUCAAAGGUCAAGGUCACGGUGACCCGAAAUAGUAAAAUGGUUUCCGGAUGAUAACUCAAGAACGCAUACGCUUAGGAUCAUGAAACUUCAUGGGUAGAUUGAUCAUGACUCGCAGAUGACCCCUAUUGAUUUUGAGGUCACUAGGUCAAAGGUCAAGGUCACGGUGACCCGAAAUAGUAAAAUGGUUUCUGGAUGAUAACUCAAGAACGCAUACGCCUAGGAUCAUGAAACUUCAUGGGUAGAUUGAUCAUGACUCGCAGAUGACCCCUAUCAAUUUUGAGGUCACUAGGUCAAAGGUCAAGGUCACGGUGACCCGAAAUAGUAAAAUGGUUUCCGGAUGAUAGCUCAAGAACGCAUACGCCUACUAGGAUCAUGAAACUUCAUGGGUAGAUUGAUCAUGACUUGCAGAUGACCCCUAUUGUUUUUGAGGUCACUAGGUCAAAGGUCAAGGUCACGGUGACCUGAAAUAGUAAAAUGGUUUUCGGAUGAUAACUCAAGAACGCAUACGCCUAGGAUCAUGAAACUUCAUAGGUAGAUUGAUCAUGACUCGCAGAUGACCCCUAUUGAUUUUGAGGUCACAAGGUCAAAGGUCAAGGUCGCAGUGACCCGAAAAAGUGAAAUGAUUUUCGGAUGAUAACUCAAGAACGCUUUUGCCUAGGAUCAUGACACUUCAUAGGUACAUUGAUCGUGACUCGCAGAUGACCCCUAUUGAUUUUCAGGUCACUAGGUCAAAGGUCAAGGUCACAGUGACAAAAAUCGUACUCACACAAUGGCUGCCACUACAAUGGACAGCCCAUAUGGGGGGCAUGCAUGUUUUACAAACAGCCCUUGUUGAAUAUUGAAGAUAGCAACUUGAUAUUUGGCAUGCAUGUGUAUCUCAUGAAGCUGCACAUUUUGAGUGGUGAAAGGUUAAGGUCAUCCUUCAAGGUCAAAAGUCAAAAAAUACAAUCCAAGGGAAGUAAUAAGCUUUAAAAGGGAGAUAAUUUCUAAACCUGCCAAAUGAUAUAUUGAAAUUUUAUUUCAAAGCGGCGCAAUAGGGGGCAUUUUGUUUCUGACAAACACAUCUCUUGUUUUUUCAUGAU